GAACUGCGAUAAGUAAUGUGAAUUGCAGAAUUCAGUGAAUCAUCGAGUCUUUGAACGCACAUUGCGCCCCCUGGCAUUCCGGGGGACAUGCCUGUCCGAGCGUCAUUGCUGCCCUUCAAGCCCGGCUUGUGUGUUGGGUCGUCGUCCCCUCCGGGGGACGGGCCCGAAAGGCAGCGGCGGCACCGCGUCCGGUCCUCGAGCGUAUGGGGCUUUGUCACCCGCUCGAUAAGGACCGGCCGGGCGCCAGCCGGCGUCUCCAACCUUUUUUUCUCAGGUUGACCUCGGAUCAGGUAGGGAUACCCGCUGAACUUAAGCA
RNAcentral lists this unclassified non-coding RNA (316 nucleotides) under plant metagenome. Its description in RNAcentral is "partial contains 5.8S ribosomal RNA, internal transcribed spacer 2, and large subunit ribosomal RNA". The stretch from base 1 to 105 matches the Rfam family "5.8S ribosomal RNA", at positions 50 to 154 of the family's 154-position model. The record is from RNAcentral.